RNAcentral lists this ribosomal RNA (274 nucleotides) under uncultured bacterium. Its description in RNAcentral is "partial 16S ribosomal RNA". It matches the Rfam family "Bacterial small subunit ribosomal RNA", at positions 523 to 796 of the family's 1533-position model. The record is from RNAcentral.
CUACAGAGGGUGCAAGCGUUAUUCGGAAUUACUGGGCGUAAAGCGCGCGUAGGCGGAUGAUUAAGUCAGUUGUGAAAGCCCUGGGCUCAACCUAGGAACUGCAUCUGAUACUGGUCGUCUAGAGUUUAAGAGAGGGAAGUGGAAUUCCAGGUGUAGCAGUGAAAUGCGUAGAUAUCUGGAGGAACAUCAGUGGCGAAGGCGACUUCCUGGCUUAAAACUGACGCUGAGGUGCGAAAGCGUGGGUAGCGAACGGGAUUAGAUACCCUUGUAGUCC